Salmo salar (Atlantic salmon) is the source of this 298-nucleotide non-coding RNA. The record is from RefSeq and is a predicted model, not a curated record. Lineage: Eukaryota; Metazoa; Chordata; Actinopteri; Salmoniformes; Salmonidae.
CAGAGGGAGGCAGAGAGACAGAGGGAGGCAGAGAGACAGAGGGAGUCAGAGAGACAGAGGGAGGCAGAGAGAGUCACAGAAGCGAAGGAGAAUCAGAGAAAAAUGCAGAUCAAGAGACUCAAACAUCUGCUGGAGCUACUGAUGGUGGAUCUACAACUGGCCCACCAAGAGAUAGAGAGAUUGAGGCUAUGGCAGAAAGUCAUGGAGGAUCAGCGACCAAGACUGGCCUGGAACAACAAACCUAUUGAGACAGAAAGAGAGAGGGAAAGAGAGAGAGAAAGGGAGAUGGAAAGGGAGA